UACGUAGGGGUCAAGCGUUGUCCGGAUUUAUUGGGCGUAAAGAGCGUGUAGGCGGCCAGAUAGGUCAGCUGUGAAAACUCGAGGCUCAACCUCGAGACGUCGGUUGAAACCAUCUGGCUAGAGUCCGGAAGAGGAGAGUGGAAUUCCCGGUGUAGCGGUGAAAUGCGCAGAUAUCGGGAAGAACACCCGUGGCGAAGGCGGCUCUCUGGGACGGUACUGACGCUGAGACGCGAAAGCGUGGGGAGCGAACAGG
RNAcentral lists this ribosomal RNA (253 nucleotides) under uncultured bacterium. RNAcentral describes it as "partial 16S ribosomal RNA". It matches the Rfam family "Bacterial small subunit ribosomal RNA", at positions 524 to 776 of the family's 1533-position model. The record is from RNAcentral.